This 49-nucleotide non-coding RNA is filed under the name Schistosoma mansoni. The record is from RNAcentral. Lineage: Eukaryota; Metazoa; Platyhelminthes; Trematoda; Strigeidida; Schistosomatidae.
AUCCAGCUGACGAGUCCCAAAAUAGGACGAAAUGCGAGUCAAACUGGAU